UACGGAGGGGGCUAGCGUUGUUCGGAAUUACUGGGCGUAAAGCGCACGUAGGCGGCUAUUCAAGUCAGAGGUGAAAGCCUGGAGCUCAACUCCAGAACUGCCUUUGAAACUAGAUGGCUAGAAUCAUGGAGAGGUCAGUGGAAUUCCGAGUGUAGAGGUGAAAUUCGUAGAUAUUCGGAAGAACACCAGUGGCGAAGGCGGCUGACUGGACAUGUAUUGACGCUGAGGUGCGGAAGCGUGGGGAGCAAACAGG
This 253-nucleotide ribosomal RNA is filed under the name uncultured bacterium. Its description in RNAcentral is "partial 16S ribosomal RNA". It matches the Rfam family "Bacterial small subunit ribosomal RNA", at positions 524 to 776 of the family's 1533-position model. The record is from RNAcentral.